UACGUAGGGGGCAAGCGUUAUCCGGAUUUACUGGGUGUAAAGGGAGCGUAGACGGCUGUGCAAGCCAGAUGUGAAAGCCCGGGGCUCAACCCCGGGACUGCAUUUGGAACUGUGUAGCUGGAGUGUCGGAGAGGCAGGCGGAAUUCCUAGUGUAGCGGUGGAAUGCGUAGAUAUUAGGAGGAACACCAGUGGCGAAGGCGGCUUACUGGACAGUAACUGACGUUGAGGCUCGAAAGCGUGGGGAGCAAACAGG
This 253-nucleotide ribosomal RNA is filed under the name uncultured bacterium. RNAcentral describes it as "partial 16S ribosomal RNA". It matches the Rfam family "Bacterial small subunit ribosomal RNA", at positions 524 to 776 of the family's 1533-position model. The record is from RNAcentral.